GUACACAUGCAAGUCGAGCGGCAGCACGGGUACUUGUACCUGGUGGCGAGCGGCGGACGGGUGAGUAAUGCCUAGGAAUCUGCCUGGUAGUGGGGGAUAACGCUCGGAAACGGACGCUAAUACCGCAUACGUCCUACGGGAGAAAGCAGGGGACCUUCGGGCCUUGCGCUAUCAGAUGAGCCUAGGUCGGAUUAGCUAGUUGGUGAGGUAAUGGCUCACCAAGGCGACGAUCCGUAACUGGUCUGAGAGGAUGAUCAGUCACACUGGAACUGAGACACGGUCCAGACUCCUACGGGAGGCAGCAGUGGGGAAUAUUGGACAAUGGGCGAAAGCCUGAUCCACCCAUGCCGCGUGUGUGAAGAAGGUCUUCCGAUUGUAAAGCACUUUAAGUUGGGAGGAAGGGCAGUUACCUAAUACAUAUCUGUUUUGCCGAACCAAAAGAAUAACCACCGGCUUACGCCUUUCCAGGCUU
RNAcentral lists this ribosomal RNA (472 nucleotides) under Pseudomonas sp. RNAcentral describes it as "bacterial SSU rRNA". It matches the Rfam family "Bacterial small subunit ribosomal RNA", at positions 49 to 515 of the family's 1533-position model. Lineage: Bacteria; Pseudomonadati; Pseudomonadota; Gammaproteobacteria; Pseudomonadales; Pseudomonadaceae. The record is from RNAcentral.